GCACUCCGUAUAAGAGAACGCGUGUUGAAAUUUGUCCAUUUUUGUCUUUUCCCCUUCAGAAAACUUCCUUUAUAUUCUAAUUAUGUUUGCGUUAAUGGUAGAGCAUUACUUCAAGUUCUACUCUUCAAAAGCUUUGCUUUUAACAGGAAUUCCUGUGUAACAAUCUCUCGAACCACCAAAGCCUCUUGGAGCCAGAAAGAAAUGCACAUCUAAGUAUCAACAAUAGCUUCUGACCAUUGGAAUCAUCAGCACACAGGUAAUGAAAAUUCACCUAGGACUUUCAAAU
This 286-nucleotide long non-coding RNA is filed under the name Ornithorhynchus anatinus (platypus). RNAcentral describes it as "lncRNA (ENSOANG00000036999.1)". The record is from RNAcentral. Lineage: Eukaryota; Metazoa; Chordata; Mammalia; Monotremata; Ornithorhynchidae.